This 247-nucleotide unclassified non-coding RNA is filed under the name plant metagenome. Its description in RNAcentral is "partial contains small subunit ribosomal RNA, internal transcribed spacer 1, and 5.8S ribosomal RNA". The record is from RNAcentral.
UUUCCGUAGGUGAACCUGCGGAAGGAUCAUUAAUGUAACCGGACCUUACCGGUGCCGUAAGACGCAUCGGUUUGGAAAGGGAGAUAUUAUACACCCUGUGUUUAUUUACCUUUGUUGCUUUGGCGGGCCGUCCUUUCAGGCGUCGGCCCGGCUGAUCGCGCCCGCCAGAGGACCCAAACUCUUUUAUCAGUGAUGUCUGAGUUCUAUAUAAUAGUUAAAACUUUCAACAACGGAUCUCUUGGUUCUG